UACGGAGGGGGCGAGCGUUAUUCGGAAUUAUUGGGCGUAAAGGGCGCGUAGGCGGCUUGAUGUGUCAAAGGUGAAAUCCCUCGGCUCAACUGAGGAACUGCCUUUGAAACUGUCUGGCUUGAGGCCGGGAGAGGGUAGCGGAAUUCCCAGUGUAGCGGUGAAAUGCGUAGAUACUGGGAGGAACACCGGUGGCGAAGGCGGCUACCUGGACCGGAACUGACGCUGAGGCGCGAAAGCGCGGGUAGCAAACAGG
This 253-nucleotide ribosomal RNA is filed under the name uncultured bacterium. RNAcentral's name for it is "partial 16S ribosomal RNA". It matches the Rfam family "Bacterial small subunit ribosomal RNA", at positions 524 to 776 of the family's 1533-position model. The record is from RNAcentral.